RNAcentral lists this ribosomal RNA (483 nucleotides) under uncultured bacterium. Its description in RNAcentral is "partial 16S ribosomal RNA". It matches the Rfam family "Bacterial small subunit ribosomal RNA", at positions 28 to 507 of the family's 1533-position model. The record is from RNAcentral.
GACGAACGCUGGCGGCAUGCUUAACACAUGCAAGUCGAACGCUGAAGCUCAGCUUUUGUUGGGUGGAUGAGUGGCGAACGGGUGAGUAACACGUGAGUAACCUGCCUCCUUCUUUGGGAUAACGCCCGGAAACGGGUGCUAAUACUGGAUAUUCACUGGUCUUCGCAUGGGGGUUGGUGGAAAGGGUUUUUCUGGUGGGGGAUGGGCUCGCGGCCUAUCAGCUUGUUGGUGGGGUGAUGGCCUACCAAGGCUUUGACGGGUAGCCGGCCUGAGAGGGUGACCGGUCACAUUGGGACUGAGAUACGGCCCAGACUCCUACGGGAGGCAGCAGUGGGGAAUAUUGCACAAUGGGCGCAAGCCUGAUGCAGCGACGCCGCGUGAGGGAUGGAGGCCUUCGGGUUGUGAACCUCUUUCGCUCAUGGUCAAGCCGCAACAAUGGUUGUGGUGAGGGUAGUGGGUAAAGAAGCGCCGGCUAACUACGUG